Nicotiana tabacum (common tobacco) is the source of this 981-nucleotide non-coding RNA. Lineage: Eukaryota; Viridiplantae; Streptophyta; Magnoliopsida; Solanales; Solanaceae. The record is from RefSeq and is a predicted model, not a curated record.
UCUUUUGAUACUCACAUGUUGGUUAAAUUUUUAUUUUCUAGUUUACUAGAUAAGUUCCAUGUUUACUGAUACUUGUGAAUAUUAUAGGACAAAUUUGACAGUGAUGACAUAAAUGAUCAACGAGAUCAUGGCUUGAAACAUACGAGGAAGUUAUGGAACAAUUGGAGAGGAUCGUUGCACAAGAAUAUAAGUCUAAGCCAUUUCGUGAUGCUCUAAAAGAUGUACCAAAUGGGGUAGACAAGAGUGAUUGGGAAUGGCUCGUCAAGGAGCAUUUUUUGACUGAAAAAUUUAAGGAAAAAAAGUGCAAGAAACUCGGUCAAUAGGUCUAAGUUGAGUAUGCCUCAUCGUACGGGUAGUAAGCCAAUUAGAGAGAUUAUUUAUGAAUUGGUUAAAAUCCAAGAAGUGGUGCAAUCUGAAUCAUCUCUUACAAACAUUGAGGUUGUAGAGAGGUGCUUUAGACCUCAACGCAAGAGUCAUGUUGUUGGAUUUGGUGUUGGGAUAACCGCUAAGAAGUUGAAAGGUGGUAACUCCUCGAAAGCUGCAUUAUUAGAGAAGCUAAAUGCUACUGAAAAAGAAACGAAUCACUAAAAGGAUGCCUGAAAGAGCUAGAGAGUAAAUACACACAGCUUGCAAGUGCAGUAUUUCAUCAGACUUCAUCACCAUCUUCAAGUGAGCAAUAGAUUGAAGCAUUUAACAGAUCAAACAUUUGAAGUCCGAAGAACUAUCCUUGAAGAAAGUGUACGGCAAGUUGAAGUACAAGAGGUUUAUGCUUUGUUAGGGAUGGUUUAAACAUCUUGUACAUAUGCUGCAAUUUUAUGUUUCUCUUUUAGGAAUUAUAAAAAAUGAUGUCAUACGAUUUAGAUUAGUUUCUGGUAAAUAUGAUACUUUAGUUCUUUGUAAUAACAAAAACAUGAAGUAUUUGGUUUAUUUUCGAGUGUUGUUGAGUGUGUAUGAAAGCAUAUAAAUAAUUAUUUCUAUUUA